This 383-nucleotide ribosomal RNA is filed under the name Stevenia deceptoria. RNAcentral describes it as "partial 16S ribosomal RNA". The record is from RNAcentral. Lineage: Eukaryota; Metazoa; Arthropoda; Insecta; Diptera; Rhinophoridae.
UCGAAGGUAGCAUAAUCAGUAGUCUUUUAAUUGAAGGCUGGUAUGAAUGGUUGGACGAGAAAUUAACUGUUUCAUAAAAAUUUAUUAUAGAAUUUUAUUUUUUAGUCAAAAAGCUAAAAUUUAUUUAAAAGACGAGAAGACCCUAUAAAUCUUUAUAUAAAUUUUAUUAUAAUUUUAUAGAUUUUUUUUGUUAUAAUAAAUUAUUAUAUUUUAUUGGGGUGAUAUUAAAAUUUAAUAAACUUUUAAUUUUUUAUAGUCAUUAAUAUAUGAAUAAAUGAUCCGUUAAUAACGAUUAAAAAAUUAAGUUACUUUAGGGAUAACAGCGUAAUUUUUUUGGAGAGUUCAUAUCGAUAAAAAAGAUUGCGACCUCGAUGUUGGAUUAA